Molecule: small nuclear RNA, 107 nt
Filed under: Dasypus novemcinctus (nine-banded armadillo)
Lineage: Eukaryota; Metazoa; Chordata; Mammalia; Cingulata; Dasypodidae
Source: RNAcentral
CUGCUCACUUGGGCAGCACAUAUACUAAAAAUGGGAAUGAUACAGAGAAGAUUAGCAUGGUCCCUGCACAAGGAUGACAUGAAAUUUGUGAAGUGUUCCAUUUAAAA